CCUACGGGAGACAGCAGUGAGGAAUAUUGGUCAAUGGGCGCGAGCCUGAACCAGCCAAGUCGCGUGAAGGAUGAAUGCCCUACGGGUUGUAAACUUCUUUUAUAAAGGAAUAAAGUGAGGCACGUGUGCCUGUUUGUAUGUACUUUAUGAAUAAGGAUCGGCUAACUCCGUGCCAGCAGCCGCGGUAAUACGGAGGAUCCGAGCGUUAUCCGGAUUUAUUGGGUUUAAAGGGAGCGUAGAUGGGUUGUUAAGUCAGUUGUGAAAGUUUGAGGCUCAACCGUAAAAGUGCAAUUGAUACUGGCAGUCGUGAGUACAGUUGAGGUAGGCGGAAUUCGUGGUGUAGCGGUGAAAUGCUUAGAUAUCACGAAGAACUCCGAUUGCGAAGGCAGCUUACUAAACUGCCACUGACAUUGAUGCUCGAAAGUGUGGGUAUCAAACAGGAUUAGAUACCCUGGUAGUC
RNAcentral lists this ribosomal RNA (460 nucleotides) under uncultured bacterium. RNAcentral describes it as "partial 16S ribosomal RNA". It matches the Rfam family "Bacterial small subunit ribosomal RNA", at positions 338 to 795 of the family's 1533-position model. The record is from RNAcentral.